RNAcentral lists this transfer-messenger RNA (354 nucleotides) under Megasphaera hexanoica. It matches the Rfam family "transfer-messenger RNA". Rfam says of the family: Bacterial tmRNA, also known as 10Sa RNA or SsrA, is named for its dual tRNA and mRNA-like properties. Lineage: Bacteria; Bacillati; Bacillota; Negativicutes; Veillonellales; Veillonellaceae. The record is from RNAcentral. RNAcentral also lists the same sequence under 1 other name.
GGGGAUGUAAAGGUUUCGACGUGGAUGGUUGUAUCAUGAAUAGCGAGCCGGCGUUUCAUCAGGCCGCAAAACGGUGAACCGUUAAAUUAAACGCAAAAGAACAAAACUUUGCUUUAGCUGCCUAAUCGCGGCUAACGUCUCUUGCUGCUAAUCCUGCGGGCAGUUUGCAGACGUCACUUAGCGGGAUACCCUGCGGCAUGGGCCUGGCCGCCGCAGCGGGAAACUCACAAGGCUGGAACAGCGUAGUUUGUCCUUGUACGACAGCUGUUUGAGACGAUAAAACAAGGUCUGCGCUCGGAGAAGUUCAUGGGGCGGCAUUUACGGACAGGAGUUCGACUCUCCUCAUCUCCACCA